This 430-nucleotide ribosomal RNA is filed under the name uncultured Bacillus sp. RNAcentral's name for it is "partial 16S ribosomal RNA". It matches the Rfam family "Bacterial small subunit ribosomal RNA", at positions 1097 to 1388 of the family's 1533-position model. The record is from RNAcentral. Lineage: Bacteria; Bacillati; Bacillota; Bacilli; Caryophanales; Bacillaceae.
CGCAUCCUGGCCUGGAACCGCAGCAAGCAGCCGCAGUGUCAGCGCGUAGGCCAUGGCACCUACGAUAACGCCGGUAGCAAUACCCGUAACGCCGUGCAGUGCCUGGGUGACCAGGAGUGCCGCGACACCACAGACUAUCGCGGCCAAUGCGACCUUGAGCACGACCAUGAUCAAUUCGCCGGCGCCGCUCUGCAGCCUUACGCGAGAGAGCAGGAGCGCGGCCAUGGCCAGAAAGACCACCCCUUAUGACCUGGGCUACACACGUGCUACAAUGGACGGUACAAAGGGCAGCAAAACCGCGAGGUCGAGCCAAUCCCAUAAAACCGUUCUCAGUUCGGAUUGCAGGCUGCAACUCGCCUGCAUGAAGCCGGAAUCGCUAGUAAUCGCGGAUCAGCAUGCCGCGGUGAAUACGUUCCCGGGCCUUGUACAC